This 1408-nucleotide small RNA is filed under the name Fusarium oxysporum. Its description in RNAcentral is "eukaryotic LSU rRNA". The stretch from base 500 to 1408 matches the Rfam family "Eukaryotic large subunit ribosomal RNA", at positions 1 to 941 of the family's 3401-position model. The record is from RNAcentral. Lineage: Eukaryota; Fungi; Ascomycota; Sordariomycetes; Hypocreales; Nectriaceae.
CGUAACAAGGUCUCCGUUGGUGAACCAGCGGAGGGAUCAUUACCGAGUUUACAACUCCCAAACCCCUGUGAACAUACCACUUGUUGCCUCGGCGGAUCAGCCCGCUCCCGGUAAAACGGGACGGCCCGCCAGAGGACCCCUAAACUCUGUUUCUAUAUGUAACUUCUGAGUAAAACCAUAAAUAAAUCAAAACUUUCAACAACGGAUCUCUUGGUUCUGGCAUCGAUGAAGAACGCAGCAAAAUGCGAUAAGUAAUGUGAAUUGCAGAAUUCAGUGAAUCAUCGAAUCUUUGAACGCACAUUGCGCCCGCCAGUAUUCUGGCGGGCAUGCCUGUUCGAGCGUCAUUUCAACCCUCAAGCACAGCUUGGUGUUGGGACUCGCGUUAAUUCGCGUUCCCCAAAUUGAUUGGCGGUCACGUCGAGCUUCCAUAGCGUAGUAGUAAAACCCUCGUUACUGGUAAUCGUCGCGGCCACGCCGUUAAACCCCAACUUCUGAAUGUUGACCUCGGAUCAGGUAGGAAUACCCGCUGAACUUAAGCAUAUCAAUAAGCGGAGGAAAAGAAACCAACAGGGAUUGCCCUAGUAACGGCGAGUGAAGCGGCAACAGCUCAAAUUUGAAAUCUGGCUCUCGGGCCCGAGUUGUAAUUUGUAGAGGAUACUUUUGAUGCGGUGCCUUCCGAGUUCCCUGGAACGGGACGCCAUAGAGGGUGAGAGCCCCGUCUGGUUGGAUGCCAAAUCUCUGUAAAGUUCCUUCAACGAGUCGAGUAGUUUGGGAAUGCUGCUCUAAAUGGGAGGUAUAUGUCUUCUAAAGCUAAAUACCGGCCAGAGACCGAUAGCGCACAAGUAGAGUGAUCGAAAGAUGAAAAGCACUUUGAAAAGAGAGUUAAAAAGUACGUGAAAUUGUUGAAAGGGAAGCGUUUAUGACCAGACUUGGGCUUGGUUAAUCAUCUGGGGUUCUCCCCAGUGCACUUUUCCAGUCCAGGCCAGCAUCAGUUUUCCCCGGGGGAUAAAGGCGGCGGGAAUGUGGCUCUCUUCGGGGAGUGUUAUAGCCCACCGUGUAAUACCCUGGGGGGGACUGAGGUUCGCGCAUCUGCAAGGAUGCUGGCGUAAUGGUCAUCAACGACCCGUCUUGAAACACGGACCAAGGAGUCGUCUUCGUAUGCGAGUGUUCGGGUGUCAAACCCCUACGCGUAAUGAAAGUGAACGCAGGUGAGAGCUUCGGCGCAUCAUCGACCGAUCCUGAUGUUCUCGGAUGGAUUUGAGUAAGAGCAUACGGGGCCGGACCCGAAAGAAGGUGAACUAUGCCUGUAUAGGGUGAAGCCAGAGGAAACUCUGGUGGAGGCUCGCAGCGGUUCUGACGUGCAAAUCGAUCGUCAAAUAUGGGCAUGGGGGCGAAAGACUAAUCGACU